CUACGUGCCAGCAGCCGCGGUAAUACGUAGGUGGCGAGCGUUAUCCGGAAUUAUUGGGCGUAAAGGGUGCGUAGGCGGCCUGUUAAGUAAGUGGUUAAAUUGUUGGGCUCAACCCAAUCCAGCCACUUAAACUGGCAGGCUAGAGUAUUGGAGAGGCAAGUGGAAUUCCAUGUGUAGCGGUAAAAUGCGUAGAUAUAUGGAGGAACACCAGUGGCGAAGGCGGCUUGCUAGCCAAAGACUGACGCUCAUGCACGAAAGCGUGGGGAGCAAAUAGGAUUAGAUACCCUAGUAGUCCACGCCGUAAACGAUGAAUACUAAGUAUUGGGGAAACUCAGUGCUGCAGUUAACGCAAUAAGUAUUCCGCCUGUGGAGUAUGCACGCAAGUGUGAAACAUAAAGGAAUUGACGGGGGCCCGCACAAGCGGUGGAGUAUGUGGUUUAAUUCGACGCAACGCGAGGAACCUUACCAGCGUUUGACAUC
RNAcentral lists this ribosomal RNA (480 nucleotides) under uncultured bacterium. Its description in RNAcentral is "bacterial SSU rRNA". It matches the Rfam family "Bacterial small subunit ribosomal RNA", at positions 501 to 988 of the family's 1533-position model. The record is from RNAcentral.